This 363-nucleotide unclassified non-coding RNA is filed under the name uncultured bacterium. Its description in RNAcentral is "contains 16S-23S intergenic spacer region". The record is from RNAcentral.
UCCCUGUUAACCAGGGCAGUCCCUUGUGAAAUAUAUAACACAAGGCAAGGGUUGCGCUCGUUCACGGACCUAACCGAACACCUCAAGGCACGAGCUGACGACAACCAUGCAGCGCCUGUCACUGAGCUCCUUGCGGCACUCCGCUGUUUCCAGCAGAUUCUCAGGAUGUCAAGCCUUGGUAAGGUUCCCCGUUUUGUGUCGAAUUAAACAACAUGCUCCACCGCUUGUGUGGGUCCCCGUCUAUUCCUUUGAGUUUUAAUCUUGCGACCGUACUCCCCAGGCGGAACACUUAACGCGUUAGCUAAGGCACUGGCGGGAUCGAUCCGCCAACACCGAGUGUUCAUCGUUUACGGCGUGGACUAC